GCUGUAGCUCCGUAGUAUAGCAUCUGACUCCCACCCAGAAGGUCCCAGGUUUAAUUCCCAGCAUCUGCA
Molecule: non-coding RNA, 69 nt
Organism: Podarcis lilfordi (Lilford's wall lizard)
Lineage: Eukaryota; Metazoa; Chordata; Lepidosauria; Squamata; Lacertidae
Source: the annotation of a GenBank genome assembly